GAGGAAACAGAAAAAAAGCUAAUGAGGAAGAAGUCAACUGAUGAAUCAAAUGAAAAGAAAACCUCCCAUUGCAGUAGGAUAGGCCAGCUGAUGACCGUCAUCCCACUUCAGUUUGCUUGCCAGUGUUAGCCUUACUACCAACUUGACCUGUGCACACUGAGACAAGCAAGGCAGGCUGGCACCAACGCCAUGACCCAGAGGUGCCCCCUCUUUCCAUAGCCACAUUGACUCCCUUAUUCAGGAAAUGAUUUUAAACAGUAGCUACCUGCAUUUAUGAAGCACUUUAUCUGAUGUAAAGGCAGAGCCAGGGCAAAAGCAAGAUUCAGUCCAGGACAUAGCUAAAUUCCUACAAUAUCAGAUAUAUUAGUAAAGAUUCUGGAUAGCUGUUCUAUUCAGAAUUAAAG
This 404-nucleotide long non-coding RNA is filed under the name Fukomys damarensis (Damara mole-rat). RNAcentral's name for it is "lncRNA (ENSFDAG00000033108.1)". The record is from RNAcentral. Lineage: Eukaryota; Metazoa; Chordata; Mammalia; Rodentia; Bathyergidae.